This 254-nucleotide ribosomal RNA is filed under the name uncultured bacterium. RNAcentral describes it as "partial 16S ribosomal RNA". It matches the Rfam family "Bacterial small subunit ribosomal RNA", at positions 524 to 776 of the family's 1533-position model. The record is from RNAcentral.
UACGAAGGGGGCUAGCGUUGCUCGGAAUCACUGGGCGUAAAGCGCACGUAGGCGGGUUGCCAAGUCGGGGGUGAAAUCCUGGAGCUCAACUCCAGAACUGCCUUCGAUACUGGCGAUCUUGGAGUCCGGGAGAGGUGAGUGGAACUGCGAGUGUAGAGGUGAAAUUCGUAGAUAUUCGCAAGAACACCAGUGGCGAAGGCGGCUCACUGGCUCGCAACUGACGCUCAGGCACGACAGCGUGGGGAGCAAACAGG